Molecule: ribosomal RNA, 400 nt
Filed under: uncultured bacterium
Lineage: Bacteria
Description: bacterial SSU rRNA
Rfam family: Bacterial small subunit ribosomal RNA
Source: RNAcentral
GAAUAUUCCACAAUGCGCGAAAGCGUGAUGGAGCAAUGCCGCGUGCGGGAUGAAGCCCCUCGGGGUGUAAACCGCUGUCAGGGUUCAGAAAUUCUGAUCAGACCCAAAGGAAGAGGCGGCUAACUCUGUGCCAGCAGCCGCGGUAAUACAGAGGCCUCGAGCGUUGCGCGGAAUCACUGGGCUUAAAGGGUGCGUAGGCCGAUAUGCAAGUGCUUUGUGAAGUCCCAGAGCUUAACUCUGGAACUGCUUGGCAGACUGCAUGUCUUGAGGUCGGUAGGGGUUGCUGGAACGGUUGGUGGAGCGGUGAAAUGCGUAGAUAUCAACCGGAACGCCAAAGGUGAAGACAAGCAACUGGGCCGAUUCUGACGCUGAGGCACGAAAGCGUGGGGAGCAAACGGGA